RNAcentral lists this unclassified non-coding RNA (281 nucleotides) under uncultured fungus. RNAcentral's name for it is "sequence contains ITS1, 5.8S rRNA gene". The stretch from base 233 to 281 matches the Rfam family "5.8S ribosomal RNA", at positions 1 to 49 of the family's 154-position model. Lineage: Eukaryota; Fungi. The record is from RNAcentral.
UCUCCGUUGGUGAACCAGCGGAGGGAUCAUUGCUGGAAGCGUCUCACGGCGCACCCAGAUACCCUUUGUGAACUUAUUCUUAUAUCGUUGCCUCGGCGCUGAGCUGGGGGCUUCUUUCCAAGGAGCUCUCCCAUGGUCUCUCGGGACGAUGGAGCAAGCCCGCCGGCGGCCCUUCUAAACUCUUGUUUUUAUUACGUAUCUCUUCUGAGUUAUUCAAAACAAAAUGAAUCAAAACUUUCAACAACGGAUCUCUUGGUUCUGGCAUCGAUGAAGAACGCAGC